Molecule: long non-coding RNA, 276 nt
Filed under: Elaeis guineensis (African oil palm)
Lineage: Eukaryota; Viridiplantae; Streptophyta; Magnoliopsida; Arecales; Arecaceae
Description: long non-coding RNA (EGUI_LNC039549)
Source: RNAcentral
CCUUCUUCUUCUUUUUCUUUUCUUCUUCCCGUGGGCUUGUUUUGGGCUGAAACAGGGGACCUUGAGGUCCCCUCGUUGGGUGGCCGAUCGACGGCGCAGCCAGCGUGGGGCGGCCAUCGGUAGGAGGGGGUGACUCGCCGAUAAGAAGAGGGCCAAACCGGUGGUCGGCGGUGACCACCGGCGACGGCAAAACGGCAAAAAAAGAAAAUUCUUCCGCAACAAAAUCCGGCGACUCCGAUCGCCGGCGAGCGUGCACAUCGACACGGGAAGGAAGGG